CCUACGGGAGGCAGCAGUGAGGAAUAUUGGUCAAUGGCCGCAGGGCUGAACCAGCCAAGUCGCGUGAGGGAUGACGGUCCUAUGGAUUGUAAACCUCUUUUGUCAGGGAGCAAAGGGCGCCACGUGUGGCGCUUUGCGAGUACCCGAAGAAAAAGCAUCGGCUAACUCCGUGCCAGCAGCCGCGGUAAUACGGAGGAUGCGAGCGUUAUCCGGAUUUAUUGGGUUUGAAGGGUGCGCAGGCGGAAUGUCAAGUCAGCGGUAAAAUUUCGGGGCUCAACCCCGUCGUGCCGUUGAAACUGGCGUUCUUGAGUGAGCGAGAAGUAUGCGGAAUGCGUGGUGUAGCGGUGAAAUGCAUAGAUAUCACGCAGAACUCCGAUUGCGAAGGCAGCAUACCGGCGCUCAACUGACGCUCAUGCACGAAAGCGUGGGUAUCGAACAGGAUUAGAUACCCCGGUAGUC
This 459-nucleotide ribosomal RNA is filed under the name uncultured bacterium. RNAcentral describes it as "partial 16S ribosomal RNA". It matches the Rfam family "Bacterial small subunit ribosomal RNA", at positions 338 to 795 of the family's 1533-position model. The record is from RNAcentral.